UUACGGUCAAAUCACGCUGAAACACCGGUUCUCGUACGAUCACCGAAGUUAAGCAGCGUAGAGCCAGGUCAGUAAUUAGAUGGGGGACCGCUUGGGAACACCUGGUACUGUAAG
Molecule: ribosomal RNA, 114 nt
Filed under: Acanthosepion pharaonis
Lineage: Eukaryota; Metazoa; Mollusca; Cephalopoda; Sepiida; Sepiidae
Source: RNAcentral